This 448-nucleotide ribosomal RNA is filed under the name uncultured organism. RNAcentral's name for it is "partial 16S ribosomal RNA". It matches the Rfam family "Bacterial small subunit ribosomal RNA", at positions 334 to 798 of the family's 1533-position model. The record is from RNAcentral.
CACUCCUGCGGGAGGCAGCAGUGGGGAAUAUUGGACAAUGGGCGCAAGCCUGAUCCAGCCCUGCCGCGUGAGUGAUGAAGGCCCUAGGGUUGUAUAGCUCUUUCACCGGUGAAGAUAAUGACGGUAACCGGAGAAGAAGCCCCGGCUAACUUCGUGCCAGCAGCCGCGGUAAUACGAAGGGGGCUAGCGUUGUUCGGAUUUACUGGGCGUAAAGCGCACGUAGGCGGACUAUUAAGUCAGGGGUGAAAUCCCGGGGCUCAACCCCGGAACUGCCUUUGAUACUGGUAGUCUUGAGUUCGAGAGAGGUGAGUGGAAUUCCGAGUGUAGAGGUGAAAUUCGUAGAUAUUCGGAGGAACACCAGUGGCGAAGGCGGCUCACUGGCUCGAUACUGACGCUGAGGUGCGAAAGCGUGGGGAGCAAACAGGAUUAGAUACCCGUGUAGUCCCAU